RNAcentral lists this ribosomal RNA (481 nucleotides) under uncultured bacterium. RNAcentral's name for it is "SSU rRNA". It matches the Rfam family "Bacterial small subunit ribosomal RNA", at positions 26 to 521 of the family's 1533-position model. The record is from RNAcentral.
AGGAUAAACGCUGGCGGCGUGCCUAACACAUGCAAGUCGAACGCGCUCUCCCGCUUCGGUGGGAGAGCGAGUGGCGGACGGGUGAGUAACACAUGGGUACCUACCUCACAGUGAGGGAUACCGGCGAGAAAUCGCCGACAAUACCGCAUAGGCUUCUCUUUUGAGAGAGAGGGAAGCAAAGUUGCGCAAGCGACGCUAUGAGAUGGGCCUGUGGCCGAUUAGCUAGUUGGUGGGGUAAUGGCCUACCAAGGCUGCGAUCGGUAGCUGGUCUGAGAGGACGAUCAGCCACACUGGGAUUGAGAACGGCCCAGACUCCUACGGGGGGCAGCAGUGAGGAAUUUUCCGCAAUGGAGGCAACUCUGACGGAGCAACGCCGCGUGCAGGAUGAAGGUUUUCGGAUCGUAAACUGCUUUUCUCGGGGACGAGCAAGGACGGUACCCGAGGAAGAAGCCCCGGCUAACUACGUGCCAGCAGCCGCGGU